ACCACUGCUCUGGAUGGACUGAAUUCACUUAUUCAUUUAACAAAUACGUAAGGACGGCUGCCAUCAGCAAGACAUUGUUGGCGACAUAGCAGAUAAGGAAAUAAACAGCCUCUGCUCUCCUAGGUUUAGAAAGCUGACUCAGAAUCUUCAGGGGAGGGGCCUAGGAGUCUGAAGUUUCUAAAAGCCGACCCGCCAAGACUGAGACUCAGGGAGCAGCAGAAAGAGAAGAGUCAGGCAGCUGUUUGAGUCUUGGUUUCUCUUAUUGGCUGCUUGAGCUUGGUGUCAAGUCUAAGAGGUCUUUGCCAAGCCCUACUUUCCGAAGAUAUUCUCCACACACACUGAAAGUCAAGGGAGCAGGAAGCCCAGAACCUGAAGACUGUCACAUCAGUGAGUCAGCUGCAAGAGCUUCCAGGCCUAGCGCUGCCAUGGUUGAAAAAGGUGCAUAAACCAGAUCUACCAGUGAGACUAUGACUGCACAAACAACAUACUCUCAGGGAUCAUCUUCACAGGGUUUCUAAGGAUCACUGCAAGGGGGGAACCUCCGGAAGGUAGAAGAGUAACUUAAGUUUUCUACGCUACUGCAGACAGCUACACCAGGAUCCUAAGGCUUCAUUUGCAGAGUUUAGUGAAGGGUCAAGAAAGAUGAUUCAGGAGCAUAUCCUUCAAGAGUCUCAGUGCCACAGACUGAGCCCAGUGACUUUAAUAUGGGUGUGGUGAGCUGACCUCAGAGUCUAUUCUCAUGGUGAAUCUGGGCCUUUUUCAAAAGAGGACAUUUGUUCUGCUGUUCUUUGCAAGUGGAGACACCUUCCUCAUCUUUAUAUUCUCAGGGCCCAGUUAUUGUUCAUGCACAGUAAGUGGCUGCUGGUACAUAAUGAUCAUGAGACAAAAAGCAGUUUGAGAAUUAAGAUAUAGUCUCUGUUCAUAAGUCUCUUAUUCAGAUAUUCACUAGCUCAUAACUUUGAAAAAACUUUGAAACUGUAAAGAACAUGCUUCUGGAUCUUUAACCUCUGUGAUUUAUUUCCCUCAUCUCUGAGUAACUCAAUGGAUUGGUGUAACAGUUAAAAGACCCAGUAAUAGGAAAGCUCAGGCUGGUUCCAGUACUUUUUUGAGGCUUGUCUUUACCAUGGCUGAUCCACCUCAUAGGUGCGUUUGGAGAUGCAAAACAGAAAGUUGUGAAAACUGCUGUAUAAUAAUUAAAAUGGAAAUCCUCACCAGGGCAAAUAUUAAGGAUAAACCCCUAAAAUUACUGUGAAAGUAAACACCGUGAAAAGUAUGCUUAUUUUGCUCCCAGUGAAAAGAAUUUAUCUGGCAUAAUACUGGGUUAACUGACCCCAAUAUUUUUAAGUAAAUGAGAUACUCUUAGAGUUGCCUUAUUCUGUCUUGUGUUAUCUUUACAUUUUUUUCCAGUUUUAUUGAGACAUAAUUGACAUACAUCAGUACAUAAGUUUAAGGCAUACUGCAUGAUGGUUUGAUUUGAACAUAUUGUGAAAUGAUUGUUGUCGUUACUUUUGACUGGGGAAAAGCUGAGGCAUCUUUUCCAAGUAUGACUUUGAGGCCCAGUUUCCUUUAAGUAUCAAGUCUAAAAAACUCUAAGUAAAUAUAUCUGUAUUCUAUUUAAUUUCCAGUCUGUUCACUUAUUUCGUUGUUAUAACCUGGUAAGCUGUUUGUGUUUACUUGUUUUGGUUUGGCUUUCUUUGAACUACAGAAAAGGCUACUCCCAGUACAAACACACACUGCAAUUUAAAAUCCCUUACGGUUUGGAGGGCCUGUACACUUGCUUCAUUAAGCACUCUUGUGCUCCCUCUGCUGCCAUGAAGGAAACCUUCACGUUCAAGACCCCAGCACACUGCUCACUGAGUGUUCUCUUGGCUGUGAUGAUGCAGAUUUGUGUGUAACUUGAGGCUCUUUGGAAAUGCAGUACUAUUUGACAUUAAAAUGUAAUAACUUUUCAUCAAAAAGUGCAGAUUAAUAAAAGGGGGAGGGAAUAAAAGAGGAAUAAAUGUUAAGAAUUUGUGGCCAAAUUCAUCCAGACAGAGCCCUAGGGCAGACAAGUGUUCUUCACACUACAAUGUGCUUAGGAAUCACUGGAGGGUUAGUUAAAAGACAGGGUCUGAUUCAGUAGGUCUGGGGUGCAGCGCCUAUUCUGAAUUGUCUGAAAAGCUCCCAGAUGCUGCUGCUGUCACACUGAAGACUCAGCUUUCAGAAGCAAGAUGUAGUAGAUAAUUAUAUAUUUUGUUUACUUGAUAGCCCAUUUUAAA
Manis javanica (Malayan pangolin) is the source of this 2258-nucleotide non-coding RNA. The record is from RefSeq and is a predicted model, not a curated record. Lineage: Eukaryota; Metazoa; Chordata; Mammalia; Pholidota; Manidae.